UACGUAGGGCGCAAGCGUUGUCCGGAAUUAUUGGGCGUAAAGAGCUCGUAGGCGGUUUGUCGCGUCUGUCGUGAAAGCUUGGGGCUUAACCCCAAGUCUGCGGUGGAUACGGGCAGACUAGAGGCAGGUAGGGGAGAACGGAAUUCCCGGUGUAGCGGUGAAAUGCGUAGAUAUAGGAAGGAAUACCAGUGGCGAAGGCGGCCUCCUGGAUCGAUACUGACGCUGAGGCGCGAAAGCGUGGGGAGCAAACAGG
RNAcentral lists this ribosomal RNA (253 nucleotides) under uncultured bacterium. Its description in RNAcentral is "partial 16S ribosomal RNA". It matches the Rfam family "Bacterial small subunit ribosomal RNA", at positions 524 to 776 of the family's 1533-position model. The record is from RNAcentral.